UAGGUCACUCUCCCUCCCAAAUAGCUCUCACCCUCUCUCUCAUCCACUGUAGCUCUCACCCUUAAUCCCCCGCACCCUCUUACCCUCAUCGAGCCUCUCAGCCUCGCUCUCAGUCUCAGUCGAUGCACUCUCAGUGGGGUGUCUCCGUCGGUUCUUCAAUUUUUCAGAUCGAAUUGGGUUUUGAUUAAGUUUUGUGAUAUUGGUGUGCAACUAUUGCAGUAAUUUCAAUUCUAUAAUUGACAUUCUCAAUUCUAUCGCCCGCGCCCCUCUCUCCACCACGGGUUCUCUCCCUUCAGUCUCUCUCGGUCGCAACUCUAUUCACUCUUCAAGCUCCAUCUCUCCCCCCCGCUCUCCCUCUCUCUCUCCUU
Molecule: long non-coding RNA, 368 nt
Filed under: Rosa chinensis
Lineage: Eukaryota; Viridiplantae; Streptophyta; Magnoliopsida; Rosales; Rosaceae
Description: sRNA RchiOBHm_Chr1g0381251
Source: RNAcentral